UACGAAGGGGGCUAGCGUUGCUCGGAAUCACUGGGCGUAAAGGGUGCGUAGGCGGGUUUUUAAGUCAGAGGUGAAAUCCUGGAGCUCAACUCCAGAACUGCCUUUGAUACUGGGAAUCUUGAGUAUGGAAGAGGUGAGUGGAACUGCGAGUGUAGAGGUGAAAUUCGUAGAUAUUCGCAAGAACACCAGUGGCGAAGGCGGCUCACUGGUCCAUAACUGACGCUGAGGCACGAAAGCGUGGGGAGCAAACAGA
This 253-nucleotide ribosomal RNA is filed under the name uncultured bacterium. Its description in RNAcentral is "partial 16S ribosomal RNA". It matches the Rfam family "Bacterial small subunit ribosomal RNA", at positions 524 to 776 of the family's 1533-position model. The record is from RNAcentral.